GGCAGUUGAGGGUGCCCUGGCAGGCGGGUGCCGGGCCUCGGCCUCUGGCUAUGUCUGCAGGGCCCUUGCAGCAGGACCCUCCUUUCUGGCCACCCUGCACAAAGGGUGACCAGGCCCUGGAGGGCUUCGGAGGGUCAGAGCAUGCCUGCAGGGGUCCUGGUGGCCCUGGCUGGGCUCUGGGAGGGCAGACAUGGCUUCUGUGCCCACAAAAACCAGGCUUCCCUUGGGGCACAGCUUGUGAAGGAACGUUGGCCCCUCUUUCCUCUGUCUAUUUUAGGGAGCAAAGAAGACUUUGCAGGAUCCUGCCUGAGAGUCGUAACAAACGCACAUGCUUCUCCCGCGUGGGCCGUGCUUCUUAUUCGUUUCUAUUGUUUGGAGCCUCCUGGAUGACGGUGACAGGCUCUGAUAUGGGCUUUGAGGGGCCACCUGGUGGGGAGUGCACCAGGUGCCCCGGCGCUCACCAGGUGCCCAGCGGGGCUGCCUGUCCUCCUGAGGGCACCGGCGUCACCCAGUGGAUGCUGAGAGGAGCUCCUGUUGUGCAGAUGCACGAAGGGGACACAGAUGUGGCUGUUUUGAGGGACAGAUGGCUCCCCCAGAGCCCCAGUCUCAGCACACCCUGCUUUUGCUGGCCCGGCACUAUUUACGUCCGGGGCGAUGGCCGGGAGCUGCACUGCUGAUGGCAUAAUUUCCAUUUCUUAACGCACCGAUGGUUUCCACAUGGACUGCACUGGAGCUAACUUGGACUGCGUCUUUUAUCGACACCCCCUGGGCAAUAAAGACGCCAGCUCUGUAUCCUGAUCAUGCCGACGCCCUCACCCUCGGCAAGGUGACUGCUCCAGAACGGGCCCGGAUCCUGAGCCCCGAGUAUGCGUGGUUCACAUGGCGGCGGGGCUUCAGACCUCCACCUGCCACGUGCCAUUUCCGAGGGCAAGGUGGGAGAUUGGAAAAUGUAUUUUUAGAAGCCCAGCAGGCAUUCCUGGUGUGUAAAUAAACAUCCAUCCACCUGGA
Chlorocebus sabaeus (green monkey) is the source of this 1008-nucleotide non-coding RNA. The record is from RefSeq and is a predicted model, not a curated record. Lineage: Eukaryota; Metazoa; Chordata; Mammalia; Primates; Cercopithecidae.